UCAUGGCUCAGGAUGAACGCUGGCGGCGUGCUUAACACAUGCAAGUCGAACGGUGAAGCAGAGCUUGCUCUGUGGAUCAGUGGCGAACGGGUGAGUAACACGUGAGCAACCUGCCCCGGACUCUGGGAUAAGCGCUGGAAACGGCGUCUAAUACUGGAUACGAGCUUCAGCCGCAUGGCUAGGAGCUGGAAAGAUUUUUUGGUCUGGGAUGGGCUCGCGGCCUAUCAGCUUGUUGGUGAGGUAAUGGCUCACCAAGGCGUCGACGGGUAGCCGGCCUGAGAGGGUGACCGGCCACACUGGGACUGAGACACGGCCCAGACUCCUACGGGAGGCAGCAGUGGGGAAUAUUGCACAAUGGGCGGAAGCCUGAUGCAGCAACGCCGCGUGAGGGAUGACGGCCUUCGGGUUGUAAACCUCUUUUAGCAGGGAAGAAGCGGAAGUGACGGUACCUGCAGAAAAAGCGCCGGCUAACUACGUGCCAGCAGCCGCGGUAAUACGUAGGGCGCAAGCGUUAUCCGGAAUUAUUGGGCGUAAAGAGCUCGUAGGCGGUUUGUCGCGUCUGCUGUGAAAUCCCGAGGCUCAACCUCGGGCCUGCAGUGGGUACGGGCAGACUAGAGUGCGGUAGGGGAGAUUGGAAUUCCUGGUGUAGCGGUGGAAUGCGCAGAUAUCAGGAGGAACACCGAUGGCGAAGGCAGAUCUCUGGGCCGUAACUGACGCUGAGGAGCGAAAGGGUGGGGAGCAAACAGGCUUAGAUACCCUGGUAGUCCACCCCGUAAACGUUGGGAACUAGUUGUGGGGUCCAUUCCACGGAUUCCGUGACGCAGCUAACGCAUUAAGUUCCCCGCCUGGGGAGUACGGCCGCAAGGCUAAAACUCAAAGGAAUUGACGGGGACCCGCACAAGCGGCGGAGCAUGCGGAUUAAUUCGAUGCAACGCGAAGAACCUUACCAAGGCUUGACAUACACGAGAACGCUGCAGAAAUGUAGAACUCUUUGGACACUCGUGAACAGGUGGUGCAUGGUUGUCGUCAGCUCGUGUCGUGAGAUGUUGGGUUAAGUCCCGCAACGAGCGCAACCCUCGUUCUAUGUUGCCAGCACGUAAUGGUGGGAACUCAUGGGAUACUGCCGGGGUCAACUCGGAGGAAGGUGGGGAUGACGUCAAAUCAUCAUGCCCCUUAUGUCUUGGGCUUCACGCAUGCUACAAUGGCCGGUACAAAGGGCUGCAAUACCGUGAGGUGGAGCGAAUCCCAAAAAGCCGGUCCCAGUUCGGAUUGAGGUCUGCAACUCGACCUCAUGAAGUCGGAGUCGCUAGUAAUCGCAGAUCAGCAACGCUGCGGUGAAUACGUUCCCGGGUCUUGUACACACCGCCCGUCAAGUCAUGAAAGUCGGUAACACCUGAAGCCGGUGGCCCAACCCUUGUGGAGGGAGCCGUCGAAAGGUGGGAUCGGUAAUUAG
Molecule: ribosomal RNA, 1453 nt
Filed under: Microbacterium sp.
Lineage: Bacteria; Bacillati; Actinomycetota; Actinomycetes; Micrococcales; Microbacteriaceae
Description: bacterial SSU rRNA
Rfam family: Bacterial small subunit ribosomal RNA
Source: RNAcentral